GUGGAUUAGAUACCUCGGUAGUCCUAGCCCUAAACGAUGUAGACUAGGCGUCGGAAGUUUAAUCACUUUCGGUGUCCAAGCUAACGCGAUAAGUCUACCGCCUGGGGACUACGGCCGCAAGGUUAAAACUCAAAGGAAUUGACGGGUCCCCGCACAAGCAGCGGAGCGUGUGGUUUAAUUCGUUGCUACACGAAGAACCUUACCUGGGUUUGACAUAGCAGUGGUAGGGAAGCGAAAGCGGACCGACCCUUCGGGGAGCUGUUACAGGUGUUGCAUGGCCGUCGUCAGCU
RNAcentral lists this ribosomal RNA (290 nucleotides) under uncultured bacterium. RNAcentral describes it as "partial 16S ribosomal RNA". It matches the Rfam family "Bacterial small subunit ribosomal RNA", at positions 773 to 1060 of the family's 1533-position model. The record is from RNAcentral.